GCAGAAAAGCGAGCUGUGCCCCAAGCUUCCUAAUCUGGGGGCCACAGGUUCGAAUCCUGUCGGGUGCACCA
RNAcentral lists this transfer RNA (71 nucleotides) under Sphingopyxis sp. JAI128. RNAcentral's name for it is "tRNA-Ser". The record is from RNAcentral. Lineage: Bacteria; Pseudomonadati; Pseudomonadota; Alphaproteobacteria; Sphingomonadales; Sphingopyxidaceae.